RNAcentral lists this ribosomal RNA (497 nucleotides) under uncultured bacterium. RNAcentral's name for it is "partial 16S ribosomal RNA". It matches the Rfam family "Bacterial small subunit ribosomal RNA", at positions 28 to 507 of the family's 1533-position model. The record is from RNAcentral.
GAUGAACGCUGGCGGCGUGCCUAAUACAUGCAAGUCGAGCGAACAGACGAGGAGCUUGCUCCUCUGACGUUAGCGGCGGACGGGUGAGUAACACGUGGAUAACCUACCUAUAAGACUGGGAUAACUUCGGGAAACCGGAGCUAAUACCGGAUAAUAUAUUGAACCGCAUGGUUCAAUAGUGAAAGACGGUUUUGCUGUCACUUAUAGAUGGAUCCGCGCCGCAUUAGCUAGUUGGUAAGGUAACGGCUUACCAAGGCAACGAUGCGUAGCCGACCUGAGAGGGUGAUCGGCCAAAAUGGGAAUGAGAAAAGGUCCAGAAUCCUACGGGAAGCAGCAGUAGGGAAACUUCCGCAAUGGGCGAAAGCCUGAAGGAGCAAAGCCGCGUGAGGGAUGAAGGUCUUCGGAUCGGAAAACUCUGUUAAUAGGGAAGAACAAAUGUGUAAAUAACUAUGCACGUCUUGACGGUAACUAAUCAGAAAGCCACGGCUAACUACGUG